RNAcentral lists this long non-coding RNA (844 nucleotides) under Triticum aestivum (bread wheat). RNAcentral describes it as "long non-coding RNA (TAES_LNC020707)". The record is from RNAcentral. Lineage: Eukaryota; Viridiplantae; Streptophyta; Magnoliopsida; Poales; Poaceae.
UUUAUCGGCAUAUCGGUUGACUUAUCGGCCGAUAUAUCUUAUCGGUCAGACACUGGUAAGCGAUAAAUCGGCCAAUUUAUUGGAAUAUCGGAAGAUAUCUUGAACAGUGCAUCCUAUUGGCGAUGCUUCCUUUGGUUAUGCAUGUUUUAAACAUUAUAAGUUAUUCUUGGGUUUACUGUUUCAUUGGCCCAUCGACAUGCUUGCCUUGACAUUUAAUAAUGUACUUUUCUAUUUCAAAAAAUUCAUCAUUAGAUAGAUUGUAGGCUUCUUAGUAGUACUCUCGUACCCUUUUAUCUUGUAUGUUUUCAUCUCAUUACGAUGCAACGUUGUUGUGUUUUGCCUAUUUAUAGCAUCAGGAGGAGUUAGUUGCAAGACUUGAAGCAUAAGAGAAAGCAUUUGAAGAGAUAUAGAAGAAGCAACAAGAAGAAUUGGAUGCUCUAAAGAAGAGCCGACAAGAGAAGAAUGAAGCUUGGGCAAAGAAGCAACAAGAGCCAGAUAAUCUUAUUAGUUUCCUCUUGAGGGCUCAAGCAACUCAAUAGUCCGAGUCCAAACUUGAUGGUGCAUGAAUGCCAUCCUUCCAUGAUGGAAAGAUAGUUGUUGAAUCAUACAUUGCAAUCAUUGAGACAACACAUGUGGUCUUUAGUUAACUAUUAGUUUUCAUCUUUUUCUACUUAUGUGUCAAACUUGAGCCAGUGCUAUUUUUUACCAUCAUUUUUGUUUAAAGAAUGAUUUAGCUGAGACAAUUUCAUAUAUAACAGGAUUUUUAUUUCAUAUCAACUUAUGAUGUGAUUUGGCUCUUUAAAUUGUUUAUAUAAUCUUGUGUGAAUUAAAUACUUAUUGUGAU